GGGGAAUAUUGGACAAUGGGCGCAAGCCUGAUCCAGCAAUGCCGCGUGGGUGAAGAAGGCCUUCGGGUUGUAAAGCCCUUUUGUACGGGAAGAAAUCAUCCGGGUUAAUACCCUGGGUGGAUGACGGUACCGUAAGAAUAAGCACCGGCUAACUUCGUGCCAGCAGCCGCGGUAAUACGAAGGGUGCAAGCGUUAAUCGGAAUUACUGGGCGUAAAGCGUGCGUAGGUGGUUGUUCAAGUCUGUCGUGAAAGCCCUGGGCUCAACCUGGGAAUGGCGAUGGAAACUGGGCGACUGGAGUGCGGUAGAGGAUGGCGGAAUUCCCGGUGUAGCGGUGAAAUGCGUAGAGAUCGGGAGGAACAUCCGUGGCGAAGGCGGCCAUCUGGACCAGCACUGACACUGAGGCACGAAAGCGUGGGGAGCAAAC
RNAcentral lists this ribosomal RNA (425 nucleotides) under uncultured bacterium. RNAcentral's name for it is "bacterial SSU rRNA". It matches the Rfam family "Bacterial small subunit ribosomal RNA", at positions 356 to 773 of the family's 1533-position model. The record is from RNAcentral.